UACGUAGGUGGCAAGCGUUGUCCGGAUUUACUGGGCGUAAAGAGCGCGCAGGCGGUCAGAUAAGUCGAAUGUGAAAGCCCCCGGCUCAACUGGGGAGGGUCAUUCGAUACUGUUCGACUCGAAGGCAGGAGAGGGAAGUGGAAUUCCCGGUGUAGUGGUGAAAUGCGUAGAUAUCGGGAGGAACACCAGUGGCGAAGGCGACUUCCUGGCCUGUUCUUGACGCUGAGGCGCGAAAGCUAGAGGAGCAAACGGG
This 253-nucleotide ribosomal RNA is filed under the name uncultured bacterium. RNAcentral's name for it is "partial 16S ribosomal RNA". It matches the Rfam family "Bacterial small subunit ribosomal RNA", at positions 524 to 776 of the family's 1533-position model. The record is from RNAcentral.